This 468-nucleotide ribosomal RNA is filed under the name uncultured bacterium. Its description in RNAcentral is "bacterial SSU rRNA". It matches the Rfam family "Bacterial small subunit ribosomal RNA", at positions 28 to 496 of the family's 1533-position model. The record is from RNAcentral.
GAUGAACGCUAGCGGCAGGCUUAACACAUGCAAGUCGAGGGGUAUUGGUUUUCGGACCAAGAGACCGGCGCACGGGUGCGUAACGCGUAUGCAAUCUACCUUUUGCAGAGGGAUAGCCCCAGAGAAAUUUGGAUUAAUACCUCAUAGUAUAGUACUUUGGCAUCAAGGAACUAUUAAAGUCACAACGGCAAAAGAUGAGCAUGCGUCCCAUUAGCUAGUUGGUAAGGUAACGGCUUACCAAGGCUACGAUGGGUAGGGGUCCUGAGAGGGAGAUCCCCCACACUGGUACUGAGACACGGACCAGACUCCUACGGGAGGCAGCAGUGAGGAAUAUUGGACAAUGGGCGCAAGCCUGAUCCAGCCAUGCCGCGUGCAGGAUGACGGUCCUAUGGAUUGUAAACUGCUUUUAUACAGGAAGAAACACUACUUCGUGAAGUAGCUUGACGGUACUGUAAGAAUAAGGAUCGG